GACUGAGUGGCGGACGGGUGAGUAACGCGUGGGUAACCUGCCUCACACAGGGGGAUAGCAGUUGGAAACGGCUGAUAAUACCGCAUAAGCGCACAGUACCGCAUGGUACAGUGUGAAAAACUCCGGUGGUGUGAGAUGGACCCGCGUUUGAUUAGCUAGUUGGUGGGGUAACGGCCUACCAAGGCGACGAUCAAUAGCCGACCUGAGAGGGUGACCGGCCACAUUGGGACUGAGACACGGCCCAAACUCC
This 250-nucleotide ribosomal RNA is filed under the name uncultured Lachnospiraceae bacterium. Its description in RNAcentral is "partial 16S ribosomal RNA". It matches the Rfam family "Bacterial small subunit ribosomal RNA", at positions 89 to 339 of the family's 1533-position model. Lineage: Bacteria; Bacillati; Bacillota; Clostridia; Lachnospirales; Lachnospiraceae. The record is from RNAcentral.